Molecule: long non-coding RNA, 494 nt
Organism: Myripristis murdjan (pinecone soldierfish)
Lineage: Eukaryota; Metazoa; Chordata; Actinopteri; Holocentriformes; Holocentridae
Exons: 2
Source: RefSeq, a predicted model, not a curated record
UCCAGAUUUGUUGCUACCAGCAGAGCAAAAAUGAACCUCACAUAAACAGCCCAGUACCUGUGGCCUCGUCAAGGACGUUCAGCCACCGGCCUGAAUUUAUUUUAAUUGACUGAUUCACUCAGCGGUAAUGUGCAGCCAGCCAGCGGACGCCUCUCUGUCGUCCCCCCGUCAGCCUCAUCACCCCGGCUGCUGAUAAAAAGAAAGCAAUAAUUUGGCUCAACAUUGAAAGGAUUUUAGCCUUCAAAACCUAACUCCAUUAAAACAAACAGUCCACAGCUUGUUUAGAGAGAAAAUCCUGGAACCCCGCUGGAGGAAACGAAGGCACUCCGUCUUUUAAUGAAGCGAUGUGAUUUAUUACCUGAGAGCAAAGCAGCUAAACAGAGCAACACAUGUCGACUCUCAGUCAAACACCUCAUCAACCUGAAUAAGACAGCAGCCCUGCAAUUUAAGGCUUUGUGCAUAACCACAAGAGGGCGCUAAACCAAUGCACAAUA